RNAcentral lists this ribosomal RNA (253 nucleotides) under uncultured bacterium. Its description in RNAcentral is "partial 16S ribosomal RNA". It matches the Rfam family "Bacterial small subunit ribosomal RNA", at positions 524 to 776 of the family's 1533-position model. The record is from RNAcentral.
UACGGGGGGGGCAAGCGUUGUUCGGUAUUACUGGGCGUAAAGGGCUCGUAGGCGGCCAACUAAGUCAGACGUGAAAUCCCUCGGCUUAACCGGGGAACUGCGUCUGAUACUGGAUGGCUUGAGAUUGGGAGAGGGAUGCGGAAUUCCAGGUGUAGCGGUGAAAUGCGUAGAUAUCUGGAGGAACACCGGUGGCGAAGGCGGCAUCCUGGACCAACACUGACGCUGAGGAGCGAAAGCCAGGGGAGCAAACGGG